RNAcentral lists this ribosomal RNA (975 nucleotides) under Gammarus pulex. Its description in RNAcentral is "16S ribosomal RNA". The stretch from base 611 to 929 matches the Rfam family "Archaeal large subunit ribosomal RNA", at positions 2150 to 2716 of the family's 2987-position model. The record is from RNAcentral. Lineage: Eukaryota; Metazoa; Arthropoda; Malacostraca; Amphipoda; Gammaridae.
UUUAAAGUUGCUAAAUAUAAACAAAGGUUAAGAAGUUUUAUUAAAAUUACCUUUUGUAUCAGGGGAGUUCAAAAUUUUAGAGAGAAUUUGUUCGAGUAGACCGGAUUUUUAUUAUUAAACACUAAUUGAAUUAAGUGCUUAAAAUUUUUAUGGGGUGAAAUGUGUUCGGCGGUUUAGUUAUCUAGUUACUUUAAAAUAUUAGUGGUUAAGCACUUAUUAAGUUAUGAUAUAAUAAAGCUAUUAUAAAACUAGGCUUUAGAUUAGCUAAAGUUUGCAAAUUGUUUUAAGUGAUUUUAAGUUAUAAAAAUAAAUAAAGUUAGUGAGUAAUGUCUGAUUUUUUUAGCUUACAGGUAUAAUGAAUUUAUUGAAUAUUGAAAGGAGCUUCUAAAUAACUCAGGUUUAAUUUGAUAGUUUAGCAAAAACAUUUCUAUUUAAGAAAAAAAAGUAAAGCCUGCCCAGUGAUUGUUUAACGGCUGCGGUAUUUUGACUGUGCUAAGGUAGCAUAAUCAAUUGUUUUUUAAUUGAGAACUAGUAUGAAGGGUUAAACAAAUUAGUCAGGUUUGAUUAGCUAAAUAAAAAAUUAAAGUUAAGGUAAGAAUUCUUUAAUAAUUUAGGGGACGAUAAGACCCUAGAAGCUUUAAAAAAUAAAAAAUAUUAUAAAAAAGUUGGUUUUUACUGGGGCGGUAGUAGUAUUUAAUCUAUUGUUAUUUUGGUUGAUCCUUAAUAUAAAGAUACCACGGUUGAGUUACUCUAGGGAUAACAGUGUAAUAUUUUUGGAUAGGCCAUAUUGAUAAAAGUGUUUGCAACCUCGAUGUUGAAUUAAGAUGUCUAUAUAAAGAAGCGGGUAUAAAAGAAGGUUUGUUCAACCUUUAUAAUCUUACAUGAUUUGAGUUCAAAUCGGUUUAAGCCAGAUUGGAUUUUAUCUCUAAGUAAUUAAUAGAUCUUUUUAGUACGAAAGGGGCGACUGGUCUUUAG